AAUUAUGCGAUACUUGGUGUGAAUUGCAGAAUUCAGUGAAUCAUCGAAUCUUUGAACGCACCUUGCGCUCCUUGGUAUUCCGAGGAGCAUGCUUGUUUGAGUGUCAUGAAUUCUUCAUUCACACCCUGGAAGCUUUUGUGGUUUGUAGGCUUGGACUUGGAGGCUUGUCGGCCGUUCUUGGUCGGCUCCUCUUAAAUGCAUUAGCUUGGUUCCUUGCGGAUCGGCUCUCAGUGUGAUAAUGUCUACGCUGCGACCGUGAAGCGUUUGGCGAGCUUCUAACCGUCUCAGUUGGAGACAACUUUAUGACCUCUGACCUCAAAUCAGGUAGGACUACCCGCUGAACUUAAGCAUAUCAAUAAGCGGAGGAA
This 368-nucleotide ribosomal RNA is filed under the name Ganoderma sp. BAB-3635. RNAcentral describes it as "eukaryotic LSU rRNA". The stretch from base 1 to 106 matches the Rfam family "5.8S ribosomal RNA", at positions 49 to 154 of the family's 154-position model. Lineage: Eukaryota; Fungi; Basidiomycota; Agaricomycetes; Polyporales; Polyporaceae. The record is from RNAcentral.